GAGAAGAACGUAGCGAAAUGCGAUAAGUAAUGUGAAUUGCAGAAUUCAGUGAAUCAUCGAAUCUUUGAACGCACAUUGCGCCCGCCAGUAUUCUGGCGGGCAUGCCUGUUCGAGCGUCAUUUCAACCAUCAAGCCCCAGGCUUGUGUUGGAGCCCUGCGGCUGCCGCAGCCUCCCAAAACCAGUGGCGGGCUCGCUAUCACACCGAGUGCAGUAGUUUACUCUUCGCUCAGGGCGUGUGGCGGGUGCUAGCCGUAAAACCCCCAACUUCUCAAGGUUGACCUCGGAUCAGGUAGGAAUACCCGCUGAACUUAAGCAUAUCAAUAAGCGGAGGA
Molecule: unclassified non-coding RNA, 333 nt
Filed under: soil metagenome
Description: partial contains 5.8S ribosomal RNA, internal transcribed spacer 2, and large subunit ribosomal RNA
Rfam family: 5.8S ribosomal RNA (bases 3-119)
Source: RNAcentral